AAACUGAAGAGUUUGAUCCUGGCACAGAGUGAACGCGGGUGGCAUGCUUAACACAUGCAAGGCGAACGGUACCAGGUCUGAGGAUGCUGACUAGUGGCGGACGGGGGAGUAACGCG
RNAcentral lists this ribosomal RNA (116 nucleotides) under Francisella tularensis subsp. holarctica. Its description in RNAcentral is "partial 16S ribosomal RNA". It matches the Rfam family "Bacterial small subunit ribosomal RNA", at positions 1 to 117 of the family's 1533-position model. The record is from RNAcentral. Lineage: Bacteria; Pseudomonadati; Pseudomonadota; Gammaproteobacteria; Thiotrichales; Francisellaceae.